UGGGGAAUAUUGCACAAUGGGCGCAAGCCUGAUGCAGCCAUGCCGCGUGUGUGAAGAAGGCCUUCGGGUUGUAAAGCACUUUCAGCGAGGAGGAAGGGUAGUGUGUUAAUAGCACAUUGCAUUGACGUUACUCGCAGAAGAAGCACCGGCUAACUCCGUGCCAGCAGCCGCGGUAAUACGGAGGGUGCAAGCGUUAAUCGGAAUUACUGGGCGUAAAGCGCACGCAGGCGGUUUGUUAAGUCAGAUGUAAAAUCCCCGCGCUUAACGUGGGAACUGCAUUUGAAACUGGCAAGCUAGAGUCUUGUAGAGGGGGGUAGAAUUCCAGGUGUAGCGGUGAAAUGCGUAGAGAUCUGGAGGAAUACCGGUGGCGAAGGCGGCCCCCUGGACAAAGACUGACGCUCAGGUGCGAAAGCGUGGGGAGCAAACA
Molecule: ribosomal RNA, 427 nt
Filed under: uncultured bacterium
Lineage: Bacteria
Description: partial 16S ribosomal RNA
Rfam family: Bacterial small subunit ribosomal RNA
Source: RNAcentral